RNAcentral lists this ribosomal RNA (484 nucleotides) under uncultured bacterium. RNAcentral describes it as "partial 16S ribosomal RNA". It matches the Rfam family "Bacterial small subunit ribosomal RNA", at positions 28 to 507 of the family's 1533-position model. The record is from RNAcentral.
AUUGAACGCUGGCGGCAUGCUUUACACAUGCAAGUCGAACGGCAGCGCGGGCUUCGGCCUGGCGGCGAGUGGCGAACGGGGGAGUAAUGCAUCGGAACGUGCCCCGUAGUGGGGGGGAGCCCGGCGAAAGCCGGAUUAAUACCGCAUACGACCUGAGGGUGUAAGCGGGGGGCCGAAAGGCCUCGCGCUAUUUGAGCGGGCGAUGUCGGAUUAGCUAGUUGGUGGGGUAAAGGCUUACCAAGGCGACGAUCCGUAGCUGGUCUGAGAGGACGACCAGCCACACUGGGACUGAGACACGGCCCAGACUCCUACGGGAGGCAGCAGUGGGGAAUUUUGGACAAUGGGGGCAACCCUGAUCCAGCCAUGCCGCGUGCGGGAAGAAGGCCUUCGGGUUGUAAACCGCUUUUGUUCGGGAAGAAAUCCUCUGGGCUAAUACCCCGGGGGGAUGACGGUACCGGAAGAAUAAGCACCGGCUAACUACGUG